GUCAGGGCUGAUGGGGGAAGCAAACUCAUCAGGAUGCUGAUGGUGGUGUCAAAUGCAGAAGAUGAGAGAGUAGGGUGAGGAUGAGGGGCAUAGCAGAUCUGCCAGAAGAGGAGUAUUAUUGGAGAGACGGGGUUUCACCAUAUUGGGCAGGCUGGUCUCGAACUCCUGACCUCAAGCGAUCCACCCGCCUUGACCUCUCGAAGUUCUGGGAUUACAACUGUGAACCACUGCACCCGGCCCAUAAGUUAUUUAAAUGAUGGAAAAAUUCUAUAAAGAGAAAAUUCCACCUCCUCUACUGUUAGUGGUGAAGCUCACAUAAGAAAGGUCAAAAGAACUCAAGAGCCAAUUUGAGGACAUUCUGAUUAGCUAAAGUAUGACAAUCUGAGCAUCAGUAAGAUCAUCAAUUACAAACCAUUUUGAAAAAUCGUAUUGCUAGUGAUAAUCUUGGUAUUGCUAUUCUGAGAUAGUUGAGUUUGCAUUGUGAAAUAAAGCAAAUAUGUAUUUAUUUGAUAAUCUGAUUCUGUCAUUCUUGGUGUAAAUAAGAAAGGGGAUUCGUGGCAUGGAAAAAAUGAAAUAAAGUUAUAAGUUGAACGUGUUAAAUAAAAUUAUAACACCUGAUAUGGCAUGAUUUCAAAAUGUCCACAAAAAUUCAUAUUAGCAUAUAUUUAUGUUCCUGAAUAUCAGUAUGCACUCAUGACUCAGUCUGUGCACUAAAAUUCCUAAAAACAAUCACUAAUCCAAGCGAAAUUAGCAACCCUAAUGCCCAGAUGGUCGUCUGUCAACACCACUUUUCACUUAAAGGAUGCAGUAAGCCUCCUCAGAAAAACAGUCGUUCCCCCAGAACGACAAACUGCCUUUAAGAGUCAUUUCUUUGUUAUCACAGGUGUCAAAAUUUUUCUGUAUUUUGUUUAUAAUUUUAUUUUUUAAAUAAAAAGUUUAUAAAAAUGGUUCUAAAAUGAAUAGCCUUAUGCGUGCUUUCGUCUUCUAAACACACUUUUACUAGUAUAUAUUUGGCAGAGAUAUCUAGAAAUAGGAGGAAGGCAGGGCCAAAAAGUAAGUACACAUGCACUAUGCUGGAUAUUGCCAUAUUCCCCUCCAUGUGGGUUCCAUUUUGCACUCCAAUCAGCACCACGUGGGAAUGCCUUUUUCUCAUAGCCUCAGUAAUUAUUUUGGUUUUUCAAAAAUCCAUUUUUUACCAGUCUAUCAGGUGAGGAAUUGUAUAUCAGUAAAAUCAUAGUGCACUUUUUUCUUAUAACAAGAAUGUUAUGCAUCUUUUCACAUGGCUAAAGGCAAUUUGCAUUUUUUUCAUGAAUUGACUACUGUUUUUACACCAUUUUUCUACAGUUUGUUCUUUUUCUUCUUUAUUUUUCAAGGUUCUUUAUUAAAUAUAGUAACCCUUUGAUAUAAGUCAUAAACAUUUUUUCCAGUUUAUUCUUUGAGUUUUUACUUUGUUUUAUGGUAUCUUUUGUCAUGAUAACUUUAAAAUAUGUAAUUAAUUUUUUCCUUAUUUUUUCUAUUCAAAUUUUACGUCUGAAUUUAGAAGAGCUUCUCUAUUCCUUCUCUAUGUAGAACUUCCAACAAUGUCUUCUUCUAAUACCUAUGUGGGGUCAUCUAUUUCUUCAAUCAAAUCUCUGAUGCAUUUAGAAUUUAUCAUAAUGUAUAGUUUGAGAAUGAAUUAAUUGAAUCUUUUUACUCAUAUCCCAACAUCACUUAUUCAAACUAUAUUCUUUUACUUACUAAUAUGAGAUGCUACUUUUUAUACAUUUUAAAGUUGCAUAUGAAAUGGAGUCUAUUUAUUGAAUUUCUCUUCUGAUCUAUCUAUGGGCAAUGCUAUUGUAAAAAAAGACUAUAUAAUGUUUUAAAUAUCUGGUAGGGCUCUUUUUUGCAGAGUUUUUGUGGCUAUGCCAGCUUUUAUUCUUUCAAAUGAACUUUGUAAUCAACACUGAUGGCACUUUUUAUUAGAAUUGUGUUAAGUUUGUAAUUUAACUUAAGUGGAGCUGAUAUGUUUGUGCUUUUGCGUCUUUUGACUUAAGAACACAGUAUGUGCCUGAACCAUUAAAUAAGAUAUUGGCUUUUGGGCUAAAAUACAAACACACACAUACAUGUACAUCAUGUUUAAAAAGUGUUUCUCAGUUCUUAUUCUGUUGCACUUUCUUAGACAUUAAUAAAUAUUAGAUUUUGUCAAAUACCUCUUCUGUCACCUAUUGAUAUAAUCAUAUGACUUUUAUCUAUUGUUGUAUUAAUAUGAAAGAUUACAUUAAAUAAUUACUAAUAUUAAAUCAUAUUUACUUUCCUGGAAUAAACCCCCCUUGGUCAAGAUGCAUUAUAUUUUUAAAAGUGUUGUUGGAUUCUAUUUGCUAACAUUUUAUCUAUGACUUUUGUCUCGAUAUUCAUAUAUGAGAUAAGUCUAAUGCUUCCUGUUUUGUAAGUACUGCACACUAACCAAUUGCACUACUGAAGCUCCUAAAAUUUUCUUAUUUAUUUAUUUGAAAUACAUUUUAUUCUUUUACAAAGUAUUUUUAAAAAAUAUUUUAUUUUAGAUUCAGGGUAUGUACGUGUAGGUUUGCUACAUGGGUUUAUUGGGCGAUGCUGGGGUUUGAGAUUUUAGUGAAUCCAUCACCUAUAUAGUGAACAUAAUACUCAGUAGGUAGUUUAUCAACUCCUCUCUCUUCCCUUCCACCUUUUGUAGCCUCCAGGGUCUAUUGUUUUCCUCUUUAUGCCCAUGGGUACCCACUGUUUAGCUUCCACUUAUAAGUGAGAACAUCUAGUAUUUGAUUUCCUGUUUCUGUAUUAAUUCAGUUAGAAUAAUGGCCUCCAGCUGCAUGCAUGUAGCUGCAAAGAACAUAAUUUUCUUCUUUUUUAUGGCUGUGUAGUAUUCCAUUGUGUCUAUAUACCACAUUUUCUUUAUCCAGUCCACCAUUAUUGGACACUUAGGUGAUUCCAUGACUUUACUAUUGUGUAUAGUGCUGCAAUAAACAUGAUUUCCUUGUUUAAAUGUAGUUUUUGGUGAUUUGGGAGUCAAUAUGACACUUGUUUCAGGAAAGGAAUUUGGAAAUUUCCUUUAAAAAAAUAUUCUCUGAAAAGAUAAAGUACUAUUGAAAUUAUUUGAUAGCUUAAGAUUUGGUAAAAUUCUCCUGUGAAAAUAUCUGAAUCUGGUACUUCUGUUGGCAAAUUAAAUAAAAACGGUAAAUAAAAUUAAUAAUAAAUAAACUUUAAAGAAACGGUAAUUGGAGUGUAUCUAUUUGAACCAAUGUUUAUAAGUUGUAUUUUCUAACAAUUUAUUCAUUUUUAAAGGUACUGAAUUUGUUUAUAGAGAAUUGAGCAUAGUAGUUUCCUAUUUUUCAAGUUCUUCUUUUGUAAUGACUAUUUCCAUGUUGUCAUUUCUAAUUUUGUAAAUUUACUUUCUACUUUUUUCUUAAGUAAGCCUGGCUUGUCUUUUUGUUGAUAUAAUAAAAGCAGCUUUGCAUUGAUUUAUUAUAUUUUAUGUUGUGCUUUAUAAACUUACUGAUUUCAGCUUUCAUCAUUGUUAAUUUUUACCUUAUGCUUUUUUUCUGCUUAUGUUGGUUUACUUUGCUGUUCUUUCUACAUUUUUUUGCUGUAAUAUUUGCAUUAUUUGUAUUUUUUUAUUACUAUCAUGCUAGUUUGUAUCUAAUAUUUUCUUUUCUGCCCAUCAUAUUGUAUUUUUAUUAUUAUUUUCAAUAAAGUGUGUAAGAAU
This 3715-nucleotide long non-coding RNA is filed under the name Homo sapiens (human). RNAcentral's name for it is "HSALNT0317063". The record is from RNAcentral. Lineage: Eukaryota; Metazoa; Chordata; Mammalia; Primates; Hominidae.